This 1473-nucleotide ribosomal RNA is filed under the name Triticum aestivum (bread wheat). RNAcentral describes it as "partial small subunit ribosomal RNA". The record is from RNAcentral. Lineage: Eukaryota; Viridiplantae; Streptophyta; Magnoliopsida; Poales; Poaceae.
AUGUCCUUGUACUGCUACAUUAUUGUUUUUGUGUUAUUAUCAUUACAUGUUAUCAUUGCCAUCGUGACAGAUUAUGCCUGCAGUGGCGAUGAUUGGUCUGUUAUAGAAAAUAUCCGGUCUGAACCAAGCAAAGAAAGAAAUUUAGUGAGCAUCGGCGACGCAUUUUUGAAAAAAAGACAUUUACUAUCUCUUCUAACUCCUGGAGAAUGGGUUGGCGACGAAGUCAUAAAUACGUACAUAAAUUGCAUGACUGCUAUGGAGCAUCUACAAGUAAGGUCAGGUGGAAGUGUGUUCUUAGAGAAUGCAUGCAUCUCAAAGAUGAUAAAGAUCGGUAGCUAUCUUCCCUCAGAUGACAUGGAUGUUGCACCAGCAUGGGUACUAAACAGAGCCAAAGCGUAUUUGGAAAAUGAUAUGGUAUACUUUCCAAUAAACAUGGAGGACGUUCACUGGUACCUAUGUGUUAUAAAUGCCAUAAAAAAAUGUGUCCAGGUGCUCGACUCGCUAGGCCCAUACAUGAGCCGCAAGGACCUCACUGAUACGCUAGAAGGACUGGAGGAUUUAUUCAAAUAUGCAUCCAAGCACAUGGAAUUAAAAUCCGAUAAGUGGACUGAUCUAGAUGUUACAACAUGGAAAAGAGAAGAAUAUAUUAAGAGCAGUCUUCAGAACGAUGGGUCAUCUUGUGGUCUCUGGAUGUUAAAUUACAUGGAGUACUUCACAGGAGAUAGUCUGUCUGACACUCCCGAACAGGUUCAUAUGACAGAUUUUAGAACAAAAUUAGCUGUCAUUUUAGUCGACUUGGAAUUCAAUGAUGAUGAUAUAAGAAACCGAGACUUGGAUGAUGAUGAAACCAACACGGAUCCCACCGAUUGUAUGAUCGUCGAAAGACCUCCUAACAAACCCAAAGCAUCCAACUCAUCAUCACAAGUUGAGCUCAUCUCGCAAUCAUUUAUCCUUUCGCCGUUUGUCACUCCAACAAACGACAACUUAAUGGAUGAACUUUGCUUGUUCAUCAGCAUGGUUGAUGAUAUCCCUUUGCUAGAGAGCGAAUGGGUGAAAAGCUCUCAACCUUAUCCUAUUAGUUUGAACUUGAGACAAUUAAAGAACAUAUUAAAGAAUGAUGAGUACAUGGAUGCUGAUUGUUUUAACAUGGCUGUGAGGAUACUAGCAUGCCACGACGUCCAGCUUGCUAGAGACGUCCCAACACACUAUAUGGAUCUACGAUUCUGUUAUGCACGAGUCCCAAGUCAUCAUGAUGGUAUGGACAUUGCUAUGUUGGCACAACUAUUUGAUAGCUGGCCUAAUAGCAAUGAGUAUCAUAUCUCAGAAUGUGAUACGAUUUUAUUGCCUUGUGAUAUUCUUGGACUAUUUUUGUUGUUCAUCUUGGACCAACAAAAAAAAUUGUUUCUAUUUUGGACCCGCUUUCAAUACCUACUUUCGGAAAGCAUAUACUUAAAACUAUGGUCAACGAUCUAA